RNAcentral lists this ribosomal RNA (473 nucleotides) under uncultured bacterium. RNAcentral describes it as "bacterial SSU rRNA". It matches the Rfam family "Bacterial small subunit ribosomal RNA", at positions 8 to 526 of the family's 1533-position model. The record is from RNAcentral.
AGGGUUUGAUUAUGGCUCAGAACGUACGCUGGCGGCACGCCUAACACAUGCAAGUCGAACGAAGUAGCAAUACUUAGUGGCAGACGGGUGAGUAACAUGUAGGUAUCUACCCUUUGGCCUGGAAUAACACGAGGAAACUUGUGCUAAUACCGGAUAAGUCUUUACGGAGAAAGCUUUAUGCACCAUUGGAUGAGCCUGCACUUGAUUAGUUUGUUGGUGGGGUAAUGGCCUACCAAGACUUUGAUCAAUAGCUGAUUUGAGAGGAUGAUCAGCCACAUUGGGACUGAGACACGGCCCAAACUCCUACGGGAGGCAGCAGUGGGGAAUCUUGCACAAUGGAGGAAACUCUGAUGCAGCGAUGCCGCGUGAGUGAAGAAGGCCUUUGGGUUGUAAAGCUCUUUCGUCGGGGAAGAAAAUGACUGUACCCGAAUAAGAAGGUCCGGCUAACUUCGUGCCAGCCGCCGCGGUAAUUC